RNAcentral lists this ribosomal RNA (450 nucleotides) under uncultured bacterium. Its description in RNAcentral is "bacterial SSU rRNA". It matches the Rfam family "Bacterial small subunit ribosomal RNA", at positions 354 to 796 of the family's 1533-position model. The record is from RNAcentral.
GUGGGGAAUAUUGGACAAUGGGCGAAAGCCUGAUCCAGCCAUGCCGCGUGUGUGAAGAAGGUCUUCGGAUUGUAAAGCACUUUAAGUUGGGAGGAAGGGUAGUAACCUAAUACGUUGCUACUUUGACGUUACCGACAGAAUAAGCACCGGCUAACUUCGUGCCAGCAGCCGCGGUAAUACGAAGGGUGCAGGCGUUAAUCGGAAUUACUGGGCGUAAAGUGCGCGUAGGUGGUUCAGCAAGUUGAAGGUGAAAUCCCCGGGCUCAACCUGGGAACUGCCUCCAAAACUACUGAGCUAGAGUACGGUAGAGGGUAGUGGAAUUUCCUGUGUAGCGGUGAAAUGCGUAGAUAUAGGAAGGAACACCAGUGGCGAAGGCGACUACCUGGACUGAUACUGACACUGAGGUGCGAAAGCGUGGGGAGCAAACAGGAUUAGAAACCCGUGUAGUCC